GUCGUGAGGCAUGCUGGAGGUAUCAGAAGUGCGAAUGCUGACAUAAGUAACGAUAAAGCGGGUGAAAAGCCCGCUCGCCGGAAGACCAAGGGUUCCUGUCCAACGUUAAUCGGGGCAGGGUGAGUCGACCCCUAAGGCGAGGCCGAAAGGCGUAGUCGAUGGGAAACGGGUUAAUAUUCCCGUACUUGGUGUUACUGCGAAGGGGGGACGGAGAAGGCUAUGUUGGCCGGGCGACGGUUGUCCCGGUUUAAGCGUGUAGGUGUGUGUUCCAGGUAAAUCCGGUUCACUUUAACACUGAGGCGUGACGACGAGGCACUACGGUGCUGAAGCAACAAAUGCCCUGCUUCCAGGAAAAGCCUCUAAGCAUCAGGUAACAUCAAAUCGUACCCCAAACCGACACAGGUGGUCAGGUAGAGAAUACCAAGGCGCUUGAGAGAACUCGGGUGAAGGAACUAGGCAAAAUGGUGCCGUAACUUCGGGAGAAGGCACGCUGACAC
This 497-nucleotide ribosomal RNA is filed under the name Salmonella enterica subsp. enterica serovar Abony. RNAcentral describes it as "partial 23S ribosomal RNA". It matches the Rfam family "Bacterial large subunit ribosomal RNA", at positions 1260 to 1757 of the family's 2925-position model. The record is from RNAcentral. Lineage: Bacteria; Pseudomonadati; Pseudomonadota; Gammaproteobacteria; Enterobacterales; Enterobacteriaceae.